Molecule: long non-coding RNA, 2310 nt
Organism: Spinacia oleracea (spinach)
Lineage: Eukaryota; Viridiplantae; Streptophyta; Magnoliopsida; Caryophyllales; Amaranthaceae
Exons: 6
Source: RefSeq, a predicted model, not a curated record
UAUUUUGGUUUAAGUGGAAAUGAUUGUGUUUGCGUACCUUUUUGUCAUAAAUGAAGCCCAUAUAUAUAGGCGCGGGUCGGGCGUACGGUCAAAUGGGUCCUACCCGAUUGAUAGCGACCCGUUGACCUCUUGGUUUGGUCACGUGCCUCCUCCCUACCGGCUUUUAGAGAUGCUGGUAGGGAAUAAUAAUUGCCGGUAAGGCUCAUCUGUUUUUGUCCUUAACGGCUUUGGCGAUGCUACCAGCCAGCUGGUAGCAUACCCGUACAGAUGGUUUGUAAAACUUAUCUUUAAAUGAUAGAUCAUUACGUUGGUAUUAAGUAUUAACAGAGUCCUAGUUUAUCUCAAACAAGGAUAUCAAGAGAUAAGUUCGGCAUUUCUGGCUUUACGAAAUCUUAGUUUCGGAGUGGCUUUGUUUGUCUCAAUCUCAACUAGCAGGUCAACGAAGGAGUUGGAGUCUUCAGUGCCAGCAAGUACUCUUAACAUUAAAAAUAAGUAAAUUGAAAGAGUAUUUGGUUGGUUUUGAACUUCUGAUUCUUAAUUCCUAAGUUCAUUUCAAGUAGCUGAGCUAAUAUUAAAUUGAAAAAAGAAGACAGCAGUGGUGAGGCAGGUGAGCCUAUCCAACAUUGUCAAGUAUGCAAAUCGUCAAGUCCUAUUUACGAAAAGGUGGGUCAAGUUGCAUGAGCUACAAUUAAAAAGGUUCGAGACUCAAUCCCGAUUAAACACUCUAAAUCAUGUACGUGACUUAGUCUCGAGGGGCAAUUUGUAAGCACGGAAAAUUCGUAUAUGUGCCACAUUAGAUAUUAUUCUGGUCAAAAGUCAAAGUAUUGACUCGAAAAUCAUUUGACAGUCUAUUAAAUUAGUUGAUUUGCGUUCUCAUAUUAAUUUAGCCCAUUUUAGUUGUUUUAAUCAAACCCUGAUAUUUUUAAUGGUUAAACCUAACAAAAUAGGUUAAACUGUUAUAAAUGGGUCAUGACUAUUAAGUCCAUUUCAAGAAGCCCAAAACACAUAAAACCCUAUAAGUUCAACUCACUCCUAUAAAUAAGAGUUUCACUACUACAAAAAUGUCCAAAUAGACCUCUAAAAACAGACCCACUACAUUAAUUAACGGGUCUCUUUAGUUAAAAAGACCUUAUAUUACAAAUAGAGGGUCUCUUAUAUAGACCUGGGCCCACAAUCUAUAUAAUAAAAUAUGAAACAGAGACCUUCUAGCAUAGAUACGACCUCUCUAUUAUAUGUGGGGUCCACUAGGUAAAAAAAUUGAGACCCGUCAGCUCUUAUAUUGGGUCUGUUUCCUAAUUUCAAUUAAUACGGAAAAAUCUUUGUUAACUUAGAAUCAUUCCGUAAAAAUAAAAAAUGAAAACGUUUGGAAUAAAAAUGAAAAUUGUUUCUCCCUUGUACCAUCGAAAAGCAAACCUCAGAUCUAAAGGCAAUCAUCCCAAAUUCUCACUCCUUCAUUCACAAUCAAACCUCCAAUUUAUCUUCAUCAAUCACUCCCAAAUUUCUGCACCUAAUUCGAAGAAAAACCAAUUCUUUCAAUAUUCAAAUCAACAAAGGUUAUAAAAACCCUAAUUUGAAGGAAAAACAAUUCUUGUGACGAGAUGUAAUUUCCAAAGCAGGGAGGUAGGAAGCGGUGAAGUAAGCUCGGAUCUUGCUAUGGAGCCAAGGUCUCCAUUGAUGAAGCUGCUUAUGAUCUGCGAUCGAAAAAAGCAAAUUUUCGAGAAAUUGGAGCACCAAGCUCUACAACCCUCACCUUCAUUCCAUUCACAAAUUUGAACCUCAUAUUUCACUGGAGUAAGAUGAUUAAUCAUAGUUACAAAAGAAGAGAUGGUUCCAACUCCAUUUACUGAUAUUGGCAAGAAAGCCAGAGUUGAACAUAAAGAAUCUUUGCUUUGAGUAUGAUACAGAUCCAUAUUAUCAAGUGUUAGAUGCUCUGUGUUGAUAAAUAUGGAUCUCAACAAGGGAUCGAGGUUCUCUCCUGUGAGUUAUACACUGUUUGAUCCUGGUGGUCAUAGAUAAGAAUACGAGCAAGCAACCUCUUACUUAUAGUCGUUUCUGAAGAUUACUGGUUAGCUCUCGUCAAUUUGGGUGUACGACUUCAGAGAUAUACAUAGUAUAUUUUUUUAGUGGGUUUAUUUAGGUUGUAACAAGAUUUUAUUCCUGUACUUGCACAAUUUUUGUAUUUUUAGAGGUAAAAUUUAGAUUUAUGAAAGUUACAAUCAUGAAUGAAUAAUUUGUAAUUGUGUAGAAGAUUUUGGAUGUAAUAUUUGUUUAUUUUUCAGUUGGUAAUAUAAGCAAUUAUCAAUAUGCAGA